GAUGAACGCUAGCUACAGGCUUAACACAUGCAAGUCGAGGGGCAGCAUUAAAGUUUGCUUGCAAACUUUAGAUGGCGACCGGCGCACGGGUGAGUAACACGUAUCCAACCUGCCGAUAACUCGGGGAUAGCCUUUCGAAAGAAAGAUUAAUACCCGAUGGUAUAUUUCACCGCAUGGUGAAACUAUUAAAGAAUUUCGGUUAUCGAUGGGGAUGCGUUCCAUUAGGCAGUUGGUGAGGUAACGGCUCACCAAACCUUCGAUGGAUAGGGGUUCUGAGAGGAAGGUCCCCCACAUUGGAACUGAGACACGGUCCAA
This 315-nucleotide ribosomal RNA is filed under the name uncultured bacterium. Its description in RNAcentral is "bacterial SSU rRNA". It matches the Rfam family "Bacterial small subunit ribosomal RNA", at positions 28 to 334 of the family's 1533-position model. The record is from RNAcentral.